GAUGAAGAACGUAGUGAAAUGCGAUAAGUAAUGUGAAUUGCAGAAUUCAGUGAAUCAUCGAAUCUUUGAACGCACAUUUCGCCCCUUGGUAUUCCAUGGGGCAUGCCUGUUCGAGCGUCAUUUGUACCUUCAAGCUUUGCUUGGUGUUGGGUGUUUGUCUCGCCUUUGCGUGUAGACUCGCCUUAAAAUAAUUGGCAGCCGGCGUAUUGAUUUCGGAGCGCAGUACAUCUCGCGCUUUGCACUCAUAACGACAGCGUCCAAAAGUACAUUUUACACUCUUGACCUCGGAUCAGGUAGGGAUACCCGCUGAACUUAAGCAUAUCAAUAAGCGGAGGA
Molecule: unclassified non-coding RNA, 336 nt
Filed under: soil metagenome
Description: partial contains 5.8S ribosomal RNA, internal transcribed spacer 2, and large subunit ribosomal RNA
Rfam family: 5.8S ribosomal RNA (bases 1-120)
Source: RNAcentral